GAAAUGCGAUAAGUAAUGUGAAUUGCAGAAUUCAGUGAAUCAUCGAAUCUUUGAACGCACAUUGCGCCCGCUAGUAUUCUGGCGGGCAUGCCUGUUCGAGCGUCAUUUCAACCAUCAAGCCCUAGGCUUGUGUUGGGGGCCUGCAGCCGCUGCAGCCCACUAAAAGCAGUGGCGGGCUCGCUGUCAUUCCGAGCGCAGUAGUUACAUCUCGCUCUGGGCGUGGCAGCGUCGCGGUGAUCCGCUAAGCCAGAGCGUAUGGGGACGCUACAGUCACACGCUCGCGGCGCGGACCGGCGCUGGCCGACCCCCCUAACCAUUCUACGGUUUGACCUCGGAUCAGGUAGGGAUACCCGCUGAACUUAAGC
Molecule: unclassified non-coding RNA, 365 nt
Filed under: plant metagenome
Description: partial contains 5.8S ribosomal RNA, internal transcribed spacer 2, and large subunit ribosomal RNA
Rfam family: 5.8S ribosomal RNA (bases 1-105)
Source: RNAcentral